This 351-nucleotide ribosomal RNA is filed under the name uncultured bacterium. RNAcentral's name for it is "bacterial SSU rRNA". It matches the Rfam family "Bacterial small subunit ribosomal RNA", at positions 64 to 443 of the family's 1533-position model. The record is from RNAcentral.
GAACGGACUCUUCGGAGUUAGUGGCGGACGGGUGAGUAACACGUGGGAACGUGCCUUUAGGUUCGGAAUAGCUCCUGGAAACGGGUGGUAAUACCGAAUGUGCCCUUCGGGGGAAAGAUUUAUCGCCUUUAGAGCGGCCCGCGUCUGAUUAGCUUGUUGGUGAGGUAAUGGCUCACCAAGGCUACGAUCAGUAGCUGGUCUGAGAGGAUGACCAGCCACAUUGGGACUGAGACACGGCCCAAACUCCUACGGGAGGCAGCAGUGGGGAAUCUUGCGCAAUGGGCGAAAGCCUGACGCAGCCAUGCCGCGUGUAUGAUGAAGGUCUUAGGAUUGUAAAAUACUUUCACCGGU